Molecule: transfer RNA, 75 nt
Filed under: Candidatus Nealsoniibacteriota bacterium
Lineage: Bacteria; Candidatus Nealsoniibacteriota
Description: Candidatus Nealsonbacteria bacterium tRNA-Val
Rfam family: tRNA
About the family: Transfer RNA (tRNA) molecules are approximately 80 nucleotides in length. Their secondary structure includes four short double-helical elements and three loops (D, anti-codon, and T loops). Further hydrogen bonds mediate the characteristic L-shaped molecular structure. tRNAs have two regions of fundamental functional importance: the anti-codon, which is responsible for specific mRNA codon recognition, and the 3' end, to which the tRNAs corresponding amino acid is attached (by aminoacyl-tRNA synthetases). tRNAs cope with the degeneracy of the genetic code in two manners: having more than one tRNA (with a specific anti-codon) for a particular amino acid; and 'wobble' base-pairing, i.e. permitting non-standard base-pairing at the 3rd anti-codon position.
Source: RNAcentral
GGGCGGUUAGCUCAGUAGGUAUAGAGCGCACGCUUCACAUGCGUGAGGUCGCAGGUUCAAGUCCUGCACCGCCCA